CAGUGCGAUCAUACCAGCACUACUGCACCGGAUCCCAUCAGAUCUCCGCAGUUAAGCGUGCCUGGGCGAGAGUAGUACUAGGAUGGGUGACCUGCAGGGAAGUCCUCGUGGCUCGUUCGGU
Non-coding RNA from Glycine soja, 121 nucleotides. Lineage: Eukaryota; Viridiplantae; Streptophyta; Magnoliopsida; Fabales; Fabaceae. The record is from Rfam.